GGAGAUCCUGUGCCCCGGCGGCGAGUGG
RNAcentral lists this small RNA (28 nucleotides) under Bombyx mori (domestic silkworm). RNAcentral's name for it is "ovarian small RNA-17308". Lineage: Eukaryota; Metazoa; Arthropoda; Insecta; Lepidoptera; Bombycidae. The record is from RNAcentral.